RNAcentral lists this ribosomal RNA (878 nucleotides) under Bacillus sp. MTCC 5514. RNAcentral describes it as "bacterial SSU rRNA". It matches the Rfam family "Bacterial small subunit ribosomal RNA", at positions 41 to 902 of the family's 1533-position model. The record is from RNAcentral. Lineage: Bacteria; Bacillati; Bacillota; Bacilli; Caryophanales; Bacillaceae.
GGCGUGCUAUACAUGCAGUCGAGCGGACCGACGGGAGCUUGCUCCCUUAGGUCAGCGGCGGACGGGUGAGUAACACGUGGGUAACCUGCCUGUAAGACUGGGAUAACUCCGGGAAACCGGGGCUAAUACCGGAUGCUUGAUUGAACCGCAUGGUUCAAUUAUAAAAGGUGGCUUUUAGCUACCACUUACAGAUGGACCCGCGGCGCAUUAGCUAGUUGGUGAGGUAACGGCUCACCAAGGCGACGAUGCGUAGCCGACCUGAGAGGGUGAUCGGCCACACUGGGACUGAGACACGGCCCAGACUCCUACGGGAGGCAGCAGUAGGGAAUCUUCCGCAAUGGACGAAAGUCUGACGGAGCAACGCCGCGUGAGUGAUGAAGGUUUUCGGAUCGUAAAACUCUGUUGUUAGGGAAGAACAAGUACCGUUCGAAUAGGGCGGUACCUUGACGGUACCUAACCAGAAAGCCACGGCUAACUACGUGCCAGCAGCCGCGGUAAUACGUAGGUGGCAAGCGUUGUCCGGAAUUAUUGGGCGUAAAGCGCGCGCAGGCGGUUUCUUAAGUCUGAUGUGAAAGCCCCCGGCUCAACCGGGGAGGGUCAUUGGAAACUGGGGAACUUGAGUGCAGAAGAGGAGAGUGGAAUUCCACGUGUAGCGGUGAAAUGCGUAGAGAUGUGGAGGAACACCAGUGGCGAAGGCGACUCUCUGGUCUGUAACUGACGCUGAGGCGCGAAAGCGUGGGGAGCGAACAGGAUUAGAUACCCUGGUAGUCCACGCCGUAAACGAUGAGUGCUAAGUGUUAGAGGGUUUCCGCCCUUUAGUGCUGCAGCAAACGCAUUAAGCACUCCGCCUGGGGAGUACGGUCGCAAGACUGAAACUC